CUCUUAGAUGUUCUGGGCCGCACGCGUGCUACACUGAACGGUUCAAUGGGUAAGGUAGUGCGAAAGCAUGACCUAAUCUCGAAAUCCGUUCGUGCUGGGGAUAGAAGCUUGCAAUUAUCCUUCUUGAACGAGGAAUACCUUGUAAGCGUGAGUCAUCAUCUCACGCUGAAUACGUCCCUGCCCUUUGUACACACCGCCCGUCGCUCCUACCGAUUGAGUGUUCCGGUGAGGCUUUGGGAGAAUGGCCUCAACAUGAGUUUAUCGUGUUUUGCCGUUUGAACUUAGUCAAACCUUAUCACUUAGAGGAAGGAGAAGUCGUAACA
RNAcentral lists this ribosomal RNA (323 nucleotides) under uncultured eukaryote. RNAcentral's name for it is "partial 18S ribosomal RNA". It matches the Rfam family "Eukaryotic small subunit ribosomal RNA", at positions 1470 to 1796 of the family's 1831-position model. The record is from RNAcentral.